RNAcentral lists this unclassified non-coding RNA (2236 nucleotides) under Hevea brasiliensis (rubber tree). Lineage: Eukaryota; Viridiplantae; Streptophyta; Magnoliopsida; Malpighiales; Euphorbiaceae. The record is from RNAcentral.
AUUCAUUAUGAGAUAUAUUCAACGUGUGAAUUACAAUAACAUUUCCCAUAAUACUUGACAUAUGCCCUACAAAUCUGUUACUUGAAAGAUCAAUAUUGAUGCAAGCCGUCAAAAUUAUGACAAAAUUCAAGCUCAAGACCCUUGGUUGCAACUGUUGUCCAAACUUGGUAAUUUCCUUCUCCGAGAUAUUUUAGUAAUUUCCUUGCCUAAUCAACUGACCUCAUAGCUUUCAAAUGUUGGAACAAACUCGUUGGUAAGUUUCCCAAAAAGAUAUUGUAAGAUAGAUCUACAAUUCGAAGUUGGGGAAACAUAUUUUCAAUUCUUGAAGUUUUUAAUGGAUCUACACAAUUUAUUUGAUCUCAAACCUAAACCUUGCAGCUCUGGCUGAGUUCCCAAUCACACGAGGAAUGUGCCGUUAAAGUGUUGUCUCCUAAAUCAAGAACUUGCAACUCUUCAAAGUUGGCCUUCGUUUUGAGGAUUGACAUUUGAAAUUUCAGACAGAUACCAAAAAUAGAAGUGUUGAAAUAAUUCUAUGUCCCACAUUUGCAUCACUCCAACCCCUCUGCAACAACAAAAAGAAAUCCCUAGCUAAGCUUUUGAUAUGGUCAAAGUGUUCAGCUACUUCCAAGUUGUUUGCUCCUUAAAGUAUUCUAAAUAUCAUCACGAAAGAAACGAGGCUCAAAACCUUGAUGAUUUCCACUUCAGACAGCUUUUGAGUUUUACUUCUGCGUGUGGGUGAUUUUCAGGUUUCCUAAUGCACCUGAAAUGAAUCUCAAAUCAGACUGCUCUUAUAGCUGGUGGGAUACGUAUGUCUCUUAAAAGCCAAACUCCAGUUCUGCUCGCUUCAGCACAGUUGUCACCCUAACAAAAAAAUCUGGUUCUUCUUCCUUUAUAUCUUCCAGUGACCUUGACUCGUGUUCGUCAGCCUCCUUGAAUCUUAGCAGGAUUAGAUUUGAAACUGAGGCAGGCUUUGUUUUAUCCCACCUCACAAGCAUCAACUCAUUCACUGAACGCCACAUUGCUCGCCCUACAUCUUUAAUGGAUAGGUCCCUUGCACUUCUCCCAUGCCACAACUCUUUGGCAAUGUACACAACUUCUUCAACAUCUACCUCCACUUGCAUGGAUGUACCAUAUAGCAACUCUUCAUGCUCAAUAAGGCGUUGAUGGAGGAUUUCGUAGUGAUCCGUAUCAAAAUUCACCACUGGUUCCAUAUGGACUUGCAAUCCAGCUAACUGAGUUGCAACAUAGGAAGCCAUGACUUGCCCAAAAAUUGCAGGUAUAGUCCCCAGAACUGGAAUGAUCCGGACCCUAAAUCCAGGCACUAUUUGAUAAUCUGAAGGAUUUUCUUCUUCUCCGCUUGGCCCUUUAAAGGGAAGCAACUUUGCCUUUGGUUUCUCAAGAGAAAAUACCACAGGAAUGCCACCAUCAAUACCAUGAUCUUUUCUCAGACGAUGUCUUACAGCUCGAGAUAGAGGGUCAUUGGUAGACUCUCUUAAGUCAGCCACGCGAAUUCUUGUUGGAUCAGCCCUUGCGCCAGCUCCAGUUGCAGAUAAAACUUUCAAACCUCUUCGAACACAUGCAGCGAGAAGUGCCACCUUUGUGUCGAUAUUAUCAAUGCAAUCAAGGACAAAAUCAGGGUGGCCAGACAGAAUUUCUUCUUCAGACGAUGAAUCAUAUAAGAAAACUUUAGCAUCUAUGUGGCACUCUGGAAAAAUUGAUUGGAAGUGCUUCUUGAGGCACAAGGCUUUUGAGGUACCAACAUCUUCUCUUGUGGCAACAGCAUGUCUAUUUAAUGAGGAGACCGACACCUUCAACAUAAUUAGCAGAUAUCAGAUAUUCACAAAUAUAGAGGUAACAUUUCUUUUAGGGAACUUAUAUCGCUAAAGCAAAUCAUGCCUCAUAAUGGCCCUUCAACUGCAUGGAGGAGAUAACAUUCAUUCUUUUCCACAAAGACUUCUUUUUUCAUUCCCUUUUUAUUUUCUCGAUAGAGUAAAGGAUUUCAUUGCUAAACAUCCCAUUGAUGCGAGCAAAAUACAAAAUAGCUAGUUCCCUGGGCCCAAAGACUUUGAUUUUUUUACCACUAGCAUUACAACAUAGUCUCCACAGAAUAGCCUAAUCACAUUACCAUAAGAUGACACAAUCUACAACUUAGUUCAAUUUUAAGUACCUAAAAUUGAAGGUUUAAAUGAACAGUAAUGCGACUUUCUAUACCCCCUUUAAUAUCAGGCAAUGCCAG